CGGUCCCCCCGCAACAAUAAAUAACGAACCCCGCCAGGCCCGGAAGGGAGCAACGGUAGUUAUGGACUUGUGUGCCGGGGUGUGGCUG
This 88-nucleotide signal recognition particle RNA is filed under the name uncultured Bermanella sp. RNAcentral's name for it is "Bacterial small signal recognition particle RNA". It matches the Rfam family "Bacterial small signal recognition particle RNA". Rfam says of the family: The signal recognition particle (SRP) is a universally conserved ribonucleoprotein involved in the co-translational targeting of proteins to membranes. Archaeal SRP consists of a 7S RNA and homologues of the eukaryotic SRP19 and SRP54 proteins. Lineage: Bacteria; Pseudomonadati; Pseudomonadota; Gammaproteobacteria; Oceanospirillales; Oceanospirillaceae. The record is from RNAcentral.